GCGCAAUGCUUCCGUUUUGGCUAACCCUCAUCCUCCUUCAUGUACUUCCAUUUUGUAAUCGGGGUCUCUGCUAGUGAACCUGUCUAGCCCGCUGGCUUCACUUUCAUAAGAAAUGACACUAAUGAUUGCCGUAGAUUUCUUUUCCAGAAGAAAUAAAGUCAAACGCUGGUUGGAAGUAAAUUGGUCACUUGAAUACAGACAUAAUUCUGACAUUGUGUUUUCUGUAAAAGUUGUUAUUGGAUAUUGGCCCAGCAGUGUACAUGAAAAGAUUUGUUAGUAGGUCAAUUUCUCUCCCUGGUAUGACCACCAAGGCCUUAAGGUGGUCUUAUUCCAACCAGGUGCUUACAAUCCCACCAAAACUAAGAUUGAGAAUAUCCAACAGGCCAGUUCUAUGACCUGGCAUGUAGGGAGUGAUGAGCAAAUGUUUGUUGCUGGCAUGCCGUUACUGUUUGAUUUCUCGUUAAUUAGGUCAUGAAUCACUACAGCCAUGCUGAUUUCCAUGAUUGUCAUCCAAGACAAGAUCAUGAUUGCAUUGAUCAUUUAAAAGCAAGGUUUAAAGUUUGGAAGGUGGAACAACAGCAUUUUCCAAAAGCUAUUUUUAUUACUUCUUUGUGUGAUUGCACAACACAUACAGGUUUUGUGUAUUUGAAAUUUGUUGCACCACUUGCUCUAAUCAGCAAAACCAAUCAUUUUGAGCUGCCAGCUACUUCAGUUUUGGUUUGCUCUCAUUACAGAAAAGUACAUUAAAAUGUGAUUAAGAAUGUCAGCCCUUACAUAUUCAUACAUGUGGAUAAUUUGCUUUAGAGAUUGGGCAGAAUAGUAACUUGUGUAGUUUAUUAACAAUAUUGCAAGCUAUGAGCAUCUUGGAUUCCAUAUUAGACUUGUUUUAAUAUUUUUUCAAUAUUCCAUUUGGAUGGUUAAUGAUGCCAACACUAAAAAAUCCAAAAAGACACAUUGAAAAUGUAAGUCUUCUUUACCUGUGAAUGAUAAAAUAACCAGUAACACAUUCAGCAACUGUUGGCAGCAGUAAACAAAAAAACAAUGAAAAUCGAUCACAAACUACGGUGAACAAUCAACUAAAUAGUUGUAGACAUUCAUACAUUUGUAUGUUAAUGUAAUGUAGUUGUAGUUAAUGUUUUUAAUCAUACUUUUGGCUUGUCAUUGCCAAUCUACAGUGAUUACAUUUUAGGUACGACGUUGCCGAAACCUAUUUCAUCAUCAAGAUGGCUCAAGAAAGAGAAUUUCUGAAAGAAUCUGUAAGCGACCUUCAGAACGUGAUACAUAGCUUAGAGAGUGACAAUUCGCCUCUGAACAGCACCCUACAACUAGUAUCCACCGCAAACCAAUAAUUUCGUCAGGCUUGUAUUGUUGGUGUACUUACAGGCAAUCGGGAACAUCACGGACACCGGGAGCCGUUGAGUUUUUUAUUUAGGUUUUGGAUGUAGUAGCAGUAGCAAGCGCCAGAUUUCGCAGUUGUACCCACUUUUUUGCUCUGAUUGGCUCUCGCAGCCAUUGAAGAUACGAGUCCAACGCAUCAUGCAACGCAACCGGCAUCUAGUGUUUCGUGAAGAAAUCAUAAUUGAUCCGUGCAAGCAAUUAAUUAUGUCAUCAAUAUCUUCCUGUUGGCAAGUUUUUUAUUGUUUAUUAGUGUAAAUAUUGCAAUUUGUUUCUCUUAAUAUUGCAACCAACUAAUUUCCUUUAUUGCACAUGGAUUAACUUUUUUAAA
Daphnia magna is the source of this 1726-nucleotide RNA transcript. RefSeq lists it as uncharacterized. The transcript is spliced from 7 exons. The record is from RefSeq and is a predicted model, not a curated record. NCBI's taxonomy places the organism in Eukaryota, Metazoa, Arthropoda, Branchiopoda, Diplostraca, Daphniidae.